AACAAGGCGUACCUGCGGACCUGCGGGGGAUCAUUACAAGUGACCCCGGUCUAACCACCGGGAUGUUCAUAACCCUUUGUUGUCCGACUCUGUUGCCUCCGGGGCGACCCUGCCUUCGGGCGGGGGCUCCGGGUGGACACUUCAAACUCUUGCGUAACUUUGCAGUCUGAGUAAACUUAAUUAAUAAAUUAAAACUUUCAACAAUGGAUCU
Molecule: unclassified non-coding RNA, 211 nt
Filed under: soil metagenome
Description: partial contains 5.8S ribosomal RNA, internal transcribed spacer 2, and large subunit ribosomal RNA
Source: RNAcentral